Molecule: ribosomal RNA, 418 nt
Filed under: uncultured bacterium
Lineage: Bacteria
Description: bacterial SSU rRNA
Rfam family: Bacterial small subunit ribosomal RNA
Source: RNAcentral
CAGGGAAUAUUGGGCAAUGGGCGCAAGCCUGACCCAGCGAUGCCGCGUGAGGGAUGAAGGCCUUCGGGUCGUAAACCUCUUUCGGCGGGGAAGAAGCCACGGGUAACCGUGGUGACGGUACCCGCAGAAGAAGCCCCGGCUAACUACGUGCCAGCAGCCGCGGUAAUACGUAGGGGACUAGCGUUGCCCGGAUUCACUGGGCGUAAAGCGCGUGUAGGCGGUCCGUUAAGUCGGAUGUGAAAGCUCCAGGCUCAACCUGGAAAUUGCAUCCGAUACUGGCGGACUUGAGGACGGUAGAGGUCGGUGGAAUGGCGAGUGUACCGGUGAAAUGGGCAGAUAUUCGCCAGAACACCAGUGGCGAAGGCGGCCGACUGGGCCGUUCCUGACGCUGAGACGCGAAAGCCAGGGUAGCGAACCG